RNAcentral lists this ribosomal RNA (462 nucleotides) under uncultured bacterium. RNAcentral's name for it is "partial 16S ribosomal RNA". It matches the Rfam family "Bacterial small subunit ribosomal RNA", at positions 29 to 507 of the family's 1533-position model. The record is from RNAcentral.
AACAAACGCUGGCGGCGUGCCUAAUACAUGCAAGUCGAACGGGGAAAGCUUUCGGGUGAGUACUAGUGGCGCACGGGUGAGGAACGCGUGGAUAAUCUGCCUUAGAGUGGGGGAUAACUAGUCGAAAGAUUAGCUAAUACCGCAUAAGACCACGAGAGCUGCGGCUUUUGAGGUCAAAGGUUUUUCGCUCUAAGAUGAGUCCGCGUAAGAUUAGCUAGUUGGUGAGGUAACGGCUCACCAAGGCGACGAUCUUUAACUGGUCUGAGAGGAUGAUCAGUCACACUGGAACUGAGACACGGUCCAGACUCCUACGGGAGGCAGCAGUAGGGAAUAUUGCACAAUGGAGGAAACUCUGAUGCAGCGACGCCGCGUGAGUGAUGAAGGCCUUCGGGUCGUAAAGCUCUGUCGCAGGGGAACAACACAAUGAAGGUACCCUGUAAGAAAGGAUCGGCUAACUUCGUG